This 324-nucleotide ribosomal RNA is filed under the name uncultured eukaryote. RNAcentral's name for it is "partial 18S ribosomal RNA". It matches the Rfam family "Eukaryotic small subunit ribosomal RNA", at positions 1470 to 1796 of the family's 1831-position model. The record is from RNAcentral.
CCCUUAGAUGUUCUGGGCUGCACGCGCGCUACACUGAUACUUUCAGCGAGUCCACCACCUUGCCUGAGAGGGUGGGGUAACCUCUGGAAAGUGUAUCGUGAUGGGGAUCGAUUAUUGUAAUUAUUAAUCUUCAACGAGGAAUUCCUAGUAAGCACAAGUCAUCAGCUUGUGUUGAUUACGUCCCUGCCCUUUGUACACACCGCCCGUCGCUCCUACCGAUUGAAUGUUCCGGUGAGCUCUUCGGACUGCGCGGUCUGCAGUUUCUGCGUUCCGUGCGGAAAGUUGCGCAAACCUUAACAUUUAGAGGAAGGAGAAGUCGUAACA